UACGAAGGGGGCGAGCGUUGUUCGGAUUUACUGGGCGUAAAGCGUGCGUAGGUGGUCUGUUAAGUCUGAUGUGAAAGCCCUGGGCUCAACCUGGGAAUUGCAUUGGAUACUGGCAGGCUAGAGUGCGGUAGAGGAUGGCGGAAUUCCCGGUGUAGCAGUGAAAUGCGUAGAUAUCGGGAGGAACACCUGUGGCGAAAGCGGCUCACUGGACCAUUACUGACGCUGAGGCGCGAAAGCUAGGGGAGCAAACAGG
This 253-nucleotide ribosomal RNA is filed under the name uncultured bacterium. RNAcentral describes it as "partial 16S ribosomal RNA". It matches the Rfam family "Bacterial small subunit ribosomal RNA", at positions 524 to 776 of the family's 1533-position model. The record is from RNAcentral.